This 359-nucleotide ribosomal RNA is filed under the name Klebsiella pneumoniae. RNAcentral's name for it is "bacterial SSU rRNA". It matches the Rfam family "Bacterial small subunit ribosomal RNA", at positions 512 to 869 of the family's 1533-position model. Lineage: Bacteria; Pseudomonadati; Pseudomonadota; Gammaproteobacteria; Enterobacterales; Enterobacteriaceae. The record is from RNAcentral.
CAGCCGCGGUAAUACGGAGGGUGCAAGCGUUUAAUCGGAAUUACUGGGCGUAAAGCGCACGCAGGCGGUCUGUCAAGUCGGAUGUGAAAUCCCCGGGCUUAACCUGGGAACUGCAUUCGAAACUGGCAGGCUAGAGUCUUGUAGAGGGGGGUAGAAUUCCAGGUGUAGCGGUGAAAUGCGUAGAGAUCUGGAGGAAUACCGGUGGCGAAGGCGGCCCCCUGGACAAAGACUGACGCUCAGGUGCGAAAGCGUGGGGAGCAAACAGGAUUAGAUACCCUGGUAGUCCACGCCGUAAACGAUGUCGAUUUGGAGGUUGUGCCCUUGAGGCGUGGCUUCCGGAGCUAACGCGUUAAAUCGAC